Molecule: ribosomal RNA, 410 nt
Filed under: uncultured microorganism
Description: bacterial SSU rRNA
Rfam family: Bacterial small subunit ribosomal RNA
Source: RNAcentral
CAGCCGCCGCGGUAAUACGUAGGGUGCGAGCGUUAAUCGGAUUUACCGGGCGUAAAGCGUGCGCAGGCGGCCCGUUAAGACAGGUGUGAAAUCCCUGGGCUCAACCUAGGAAUUGCGCUUGUGACUGGCGGGCUCGAGUACGGUAGAGGGGGGUGGAAUUCCUGGUGUAGCAGUGAAAUGCGUAGAGAUCAGGAGGAACAUCGAUGGCGAAGGCAGCCCCCUGGGCCUGUACUGACGCUCAUGCACGAAAGCGUGGGGAGCAAACAGGAUUAGAUACCCUGGUAGUCCACGCCCUAAACGAUGGGUACUAGCCGUUUGGUGCGCGAUAGCGCUGAGUGGCGAAGCUAACGCGUGAAGUACCCCGCCUGGGGAGUACGGCCGCAAGGUUGAAACUUAAAGGAAUUGGCGGG